UCAAACUUGAGAGUUUGAUCCUGGCUCAGAACGGACGCUGGCGGCAGGCCUAAAACAUGCAAGUCGAACGAUCCUUCGGGAUAGU
RNAcentral lists this ribosomal RNA (85 nucleotides) under Alphaproteobacteria bacterium. RNAcentral's name for it is "partial 16S ribosomal RNA". It matches the Rfam family "Bacterial small subunit ribosomal RNA", at positions 1 to 83 of the family's 1533-position model. The record is from RNAcentral. Lineage: Bacteria; Pseudomonadati; Pseudomonadota; Alphaproteobacteria.